GGUUGAAAAACACUACAGAAAAUCUCAUAGAAACAUAGCAUUCUCUCAGAAUUUCUUACAGAAGCGACUUCAUCUCUCAGAAUUUCCUACAGAGGAUACAGCUUCGUAUACAUAUUCUCACAGGCACAUCAAUGAGAAAAUAUCCUGUGGGGUAAUUCAGGGUCUGGCCUUGCGAUUUCUAUGAGAAAACAAUUCAAACAUGACUGACUUUCUCACGAACCUCGCUUCAGUCUUAUGAGAAACUUAGAAGGAUAUUUCCCUGUCGAAUGAACAUAAAGCAAGAAAUGACGGGCCACAGAGAGUGAUAUGUCGUCCGUGUUGGAAAGUAGUUCGUGCGAUUUCGUGUGUUUGUGAAUAAUCCCUGUUAGGUAGAAGUGCCAUGGUUGCUCCGUUUUGUCGUUCCUAGUGAAACUAUCAAUUUUAUAACCCAUUAUGAUAUUCCAUCGUACAUUAGUGGAGGCGUUUGUUCCAACCGCCAGCAAGCUAGUUAGUCUGCUUUGAAACGAGGAAGCGCAUGGACGUAGCUACGCAUCUCAUGCAAAUACCGCCUGACAUUCAGGAUUUUCAGGAUUUCAUGCAUUUGAGGUAUUGUGUGGGUCGGAAGGUAGAAUGCUGUGAGAUCGUUAUAGCAACUGUGCUUUGGGCAAACGGUUAAACUCGUAAGAAGCGGCAAGCACGCAUCCGAUGUGAGAUCGUGGUCGUAACUCAUUCUCGCAAGAAAUCCAACGCGUUCCCAAGGUGCAAAACAUGAACUUGGCAUAGUCACAUGAAGAAAUUUUUUUGGUCGUCGCAUUAGAGAUUUCAAGUAUGUGUACAAUGCAUUGAACGCUUUUACGGCGGUG
Long non-coding RNA from Ornithodoros turicata, 842 nucleotides. RefSeq lists it as uncharacterized. The transcript has 3 exons. Lineage: Eukaryota; Metazoa; Arthropoda; Arachnida; Ixodida; Argasidae. The record is from RefSeq and is a predicted model, not a curated record.